Molecule: non-coding RNA, 826 nt
Organism: Paramuricea clavata
Lineage: Eukaryota; Metazoa; Cnidaria; Anthozoa; Malacalcyonacea; Plexauridae
Source: the annotation of a GenBank genome assembly
CUUGCGCAUUAAUUAACUUCAGGUAUGCCAUAAACUGUUAAAUAUUAAAUAUUGACAAUCUCCAACACUCUCCCCCCAUUUAUCUACUAUUUGAGAUAAAUGUCGUCCAAUACACCUGGAGAUUGACCAAUGAUACAACUGUACUAAAAUGUCAACCUUAGUAUAUUUCUAAAUUGUUCUGACUGUUCACAGUUCAGUGUCCAAAUGUUCACUUGAAAUUAAGUCUAUUGUUCAUCCUCCGCGAUCUCCUGAACACGCAAUUUGGCCGCUAACUGCAGCAUCCCGCUUCGGUCUAAAUGUCUCCGCUUUCGGGUUGAGUAUUGCCGGUACUGGUUCUUUCUUGUCAACCGAGAGCUCUAGUGGGUACAAAUGCUGCACGGCACGCUCAAUUUGAGACUUUUCUGUACGUACUUUGGCUCCCCUGAUUUUUCCAUCUUUUCCCACAAUCAGUGCUUCGACAAUUCCUAACGGCCAACGACCACGUUUUCUCUCGUCUGUUGCAAUAAUCACUACAUCUCCUACCGUUGGCACUGCUCCACUACAUUCUGCUUUCGAACGAUGUCUCUCACGAAGGCUACGCAAAUAUUCCUGGGUCCACCGUCUCCAAAGCGCUUCUUUGCAUUUCAUCAAGUGUUUCGCUCGUUUUCUAAGGUCACCGUCCUCAAUAUUAUAUGGUUGCAAUUCGGGUAAAAUAUUACUAUUCAGAAACAACAUCGAACUUGGCGUUAACACUGGAAAUUGCACGUCAUCCUCCACGUAAGAUAAUGGACGGUUAUUUACCGCCACCUCGACAUCAAGCAAUACUUCCUCUAACUCGUUCCAUCGC